GCGGACGUGGUGAAAUUGGCAGACACGCAGGAUUUAGGUUCCUGUGGGGAAACCCGUGGGGGUUCAAGUCCCUCCGCCCGCACCA
This 85-nucleotide transfer RNA is filed under the name Hyphomicrobiales bacterium. RNAcentral's name for it is "tRNA-Leu". It matches the Rfam family "tRNA". From Rfam's summary of the family: Transfer RNA (tRNA) molecules are approximately 80 nucleotides in length. Lineage: Bacteria; Pseudomonadati; Pseudomonadota; Alphaproteobacteria; Hyphomicrobiales. RNAcentral also lists the same sequence under 2 other names. The record is from RNAcentral.